RNAcentral lists this transfer RNA (87 nucleotides) under Citrifermentans bremense. RNAcentral describes it as "Geobacter bremensis tRNA-Leu". It matches the Rfam family "tRNA". Rfam says of the family: Transfer RNA (tRNA) molecules are approximately 80 nucleotides in length. RNAcentral also lists the same sequence under 2 other names. The record is from RNAcentral. Lineage: Bacteria; Pseudomonadati; Thermodesulfobacteriota; Desulfuromonadia; Geobacterales; Geobacteraceae.
GCCCGGAUGGCGGAAUUGGUAGACGCAAGGGACUUAAAAUCCCUCGUCUGAAAGGACGUGCCGGUUCGACCCCGGCUCCGGGCACCA